CAGCAGCCACGGUAAUACGUAGGGUGCGAGCGUCAAUCGGAAUUACUGGGCGUAAAGCGUGCGUAGGCGGUUCGUUAAGUCUGUUGUGAAAGCCCCGGGCUCAACCUGGGAAUGGCAAUGGAUACUGGCGAGCUAGAGUGUGUCAGAGGAUGGUGGAAUUCCCGGUGUAGCGGUGAAAUGCGUAGAGAUCGGGAGGAACAUCAGUGGCGAAGGCGGCCAUCUGGGACAACACUGACGCUGAGGCACGAAAGCGUGGGGAGCAAACAGGAUUAGAUACCCGCGUAGUCCCUGUCUCUUAUAC
This 301-nucleotide ribosomal RNA is filed under the name uncultured bacterium. RNAcentral's name for it is "partial 16S ribosomal RNA". It matches the Rfam family "Bacterial small subunit ribosomal RNA", at positions 509 to 807 of the family's 1533-position model. The record is from RNAcentral.